UUUUUAUUGGGUAUACAGUGUACUGAUCACACAGAAGAAUAAGAAAGAGCAUGUCAGAAGGCAUAACUCACAAGCAUCUUUGCCUUUUUUUUUUCCUUAUCAAAUCCCCCAAUAACUUUUUAGCUAUUUAUCAUUUGAUUGUUUACGAGGAGAUGAAAAAAAUGGAAAUUAUUGCUGCGGAAACUGCCUUCUUGAACAGAUCUGCAAUGUCUCUUCGUAAUCAGAUUUUUGAAUGAACUCCUAGUCUGUCAAGUGUAGUCCUGAUACCUUGCAAUCCUA
This 279-nucleotide long non-coding RNA is filed under the name Oryza brachyantha (malo sina). Its description in RNAcentral is "long non-coding RNA (OBRA_LNC003242)". Lineage: Eukaryota; Viridiplantae; Streptophyta; Magnoliopsida; Poales; Poaceae. The record is from RNAcentral.